AGUGAACGCUGGCGGUAGGCCUAACACAUGCAAGUCGAACGGCAGCACAGUAAGAGCUUGCUCUUACGGGUGGCGAGUGGCGGACGGGUGAGGAAUACAUCGGAAUCUACUUUUUCGUGGGGGAUAACGUAGGGAAACUUACGCUAAUACCGCAUACGACCUACGGGUGAAAGCAGGGGAUCUUCGGACCUUGCGCGAUUGAACGAGCCGAUGUCGGAUUAGCUAGUUGGCGGGGUAAAGGCCCACCAAGGCGACGAUCCGUAGCUGGUCUGAGAGGAUGAUCAGCCACACUGGAACUGAGACACGGUCCAGACUCCUAAGGGAGGCAGCAGUGGGGAAUAUUGGACAAUGGGCGCAAGCCUGAUCCAGCCAUACCGCGUGGGUGAAGAAGGCCUUCGGGUUGUAAAGCCCUUUUGUUGGGAAAGAAAAGCAGCAGGUUAAUACCCCGCUGUUCUGACGGUACCCAAAGAAUAAGCACCGGCUAACUUCGUG
Molecule: ribosomal RNA, 492 nt
Filed under: uncultured bacterium
Lineage: Bacteria
Description: partial 16S ribosomal RNA
Rfam family: Bacterial small subunit ribosomal RNA
Source: RNAcentral